GGCGCCGUGGCUUAGUUGGUUAAAGCGCCUGUCUAGUAAACAGGAGAUCACGAGUUCGAAUCUCGUCGGUGAUU
RNAcentral lists this transfer RNA (74 nucleotides) under Trichonephila clavata. It matches the Rfam family "tRNA". Rfam says of the family: Transfer RNA (tRNA) molecules are approximately 80 nucleotides in length. Their secondary structure includes four short double-helical elements and three loops (D, anti-codon, and T loops). The record is from Rfam by way of RNAcentral. Lineage: Eukaryota; Metazoa; Arthropoda; Arachnida; Araneae; Nephilidae.